Molecule: transfer RNA, 76 nt
Filed under: Nitrospirillum viridazoti CBAmc
Lineage: Bacteria; Pseudomonadati; Pseudomonadota; Alphaproteobacteria; Rhodospirillales; Azospirillaceae
Description: Nitrospirillum amazonense CBAmc tRNA-Ala
Rfam family: tRNA
About the family: Transfer RNA (tRNA) molecules are approximately 80 nucleotides in length. Their secondary structure includes four short double-helical elements and three loops (D, anti-codon, and T loops).
Source: RNAcentral
GGGGGCGUAGCUCAGUUGGGAGAGCACGUGCUUUGCAAGCAUGAGGUCGUCGGUUCGAUCCCGAUCGCCUCCACCA